Long non-coding RNA from Chiroxiphia lanceolata (lance-tailed manakin), 99 nucleotides. RefSeq lists it as uncharacterized. The transcript is spliced from 3 exons. The record is from RefSeq and is a predicted model, not a curated record. Lineage: Eukaryota; Metazoa; Chordata; Aves; Passeriformes; Pipridae.
CCAGGCUGGAGCAGCUUGUGAAGAACUGCAGCCUGUGAGAAGGGCUCAUGUUGAAGAAGUUCGUGGAGGACUGUCUCAUGUAAAAGGUACCACCACUCU